Molecule: ribosomal RNA, 367 nt
Filed under: Microxysma sp.
Lineage: Eukaryota; Ciliophora; Phyllopharyngea; Dysteriida; Hartmannulidae
Description: partial small subunit ribosomal RNA
Rfam family: Eukaryotic small subunit ribosomal RNA
Source: RNAcentral
UUCCAGCUCCAAUAGUGUAUCUUAAAGUUGUUGCAGUUAAAAAGCUCGUAGUUGAAUUUCUGACAGGUCAGCGACUCUCGAAGUUGCAAGACUAUGUCAUCCGCCUUGGGAACCUCGUUCGUCGCUUGCGUCAACGGGGGAAACUAGCAAUUUACUUUGAAGAAAUUAGAGUGUUCCUAGCAGGCUAUGCUUGAAUACAUCAGCAUGGAAUAAUGGAAAAGGACAAGAUCCAUUUGAUUGGUUAUUGGAUGUUGUAAUGAUUAACAGGGACAGUUGGGGGCACUUGUAUUCGUUUGUCGGCGGUGAAAUGCUAUGAUUAGACGAAGACGAACUAAUGCGAAAGCAUUUGCCAAGGAUGUUUUCAUCA